Molecule: non-coding RNA, 388 nt
Organism: Pelobates cultripes (western spadefoot toad)
Lineage: Eukaryota; Metazoa; Chordata; Amphibia; Anura; Pelobatidae
Source: the annotation of a GenBank genome assembly
AAAUAGUAGAAAAAUACUAUACAGCAGAUCUCCUAUAUAACUUAUUACGUUGUACAAACCCUUUUAAACCAAAAAAAAUACCAUUCAGAUAUUCUUGUGUUUUACUGCAAACUGCAGUAGACCUACAUUUUUUUGCAAGCAGAUAUUUUAAGAUGGAUGCUCAUGGAAAUGUAAUGAAGUGUUACUAAAUGUUGAAUUCUUCACAUCUGCAGUAUAGCAGCUCAGUAGGGUGAUGUUCUGUAAUGUGUAACCAUAAACAGCAGUUUUAAGACAUAUUCUGCAGACAGUAAAAGUAAUACAAUUUGUUUUUGAAAUCUGUAAAGGCCAAGCAUGGUAAAAAAAAAAAAUAAUGUCCAUGUCAAUAAACAAUUAUUAUAGUUGUUUUCCC